UCCACGCCAUCUUCUCCUUCUUCAGACUAAUAAGACAUUAAGAACAUGAAAGACUGACAUAUUGUGCAUGAAGUUCACAGACCCCUGAUGAAGAACAAAUCCUCGUGAUGUGUGAGCUCUAAACGUGGAGAGUGGAGAGAAAACAAAGUGAAAGCACCAUGAACCUUCAGAUGCGAUGGACUCUUCUUAUCUUAUUGUUUCUACACAACACAGAUAUCUCCUGGGCAGACAGCUUCAUCGUUGUCGGUCCUUCUAAGCCCGUCGUCACUUAUGUCGGUGAAUAUGUGGUCCUGCCAGCCUCCCUCUCACCAGC
Long non-coding RNA from Polypterus senegalus (gray bichir), 313 nucleotides. RefSeq lists it as uncharacterized. The transcript is spliced from 3 exons. Lineage: Eukaryota; Metazoa; Chordata; Cladistia; Polypteriformes; Polypteridae. The record is from RefSeq and is a predicted model, not a curated record.